AAUAUUCAUUAACUCCGAAUCUGGUAGUCUAAUGGAAACUACGACAACCAGGUCGUUGGGUUUACCGGGAAACCGAUAAGCCUCCCGUUGCGGAAAGGAGUCAGUGCUACUAUUGA
Molecule: non-coding RNA, 116 nt
Filed under: Sporomusa sphaeroides
Lineage: Bacteria; Bacillati; Bacillota; Negativicutes; Selenomonadales; Sporomusaceae
Description: Sporomusa sp. MoCo sequence
Rfam family: Molybdenum/Tungsten riboswitch aptamer (Moco RNA motif)
Source: RNAcentral